UUCCCUCCUCUGAGAAGAACAACAGAAAUUCCCAGCCAAAAUGAGACUGUACCUCGUAGUUGCCAUGCUGGUGCUGGCUUUGGCCGCAUUCACACAGGCUCAGGAGGCGGAGGCGGCCGUCUCUGGGAUCACAGAGAUGGGCCAAAGCCUGGCAGACAAGGCCACGGCAACCUUUGAAGACAUCAGGACCAGCGACAUCAUAUCCAACUCACAGGCCUGGUUGGAGCAGCAGUUGGAAAAGGUGAAGCAGAAGAUCGGUUAAAUCACCCAGUAAAAUGGUCCCUGUCUCCAUCCUAAGACCCCCCUCCCACCUCUGAUCUCUUCACACAUUGCUUUGCUGACCAGACACAAUAUCUAUGUUGCCUCUCUGUAAAGAGAUGGUUGUUUUUUUUAUCAUUUCAAUGUAAUCUUUUUGAAGAACCACUGUGAAAACUUGAAAUAAAGACACUGGGGGAAAAAAUAAAGCUGUGCUUUAAUGUUCACAUAUUCUGUUUAAGCGUUAGUAAUUUUCUAUAGGAACAGAUGUACUGAACUGUGUAAUAAAUGAGCAGUUGUUGUGGUCUCACACAGAGUGGCCGCCUUAUGUUAUACAAAA
Molecule: long non-coding RNA, 595 nt
Organism: Gymnodraco acuticeps
Lineage: Eukaryota; Metazoa; Chordata; Actinopteri; Perciformes; Bathydraconidae
Exons: 4
Source: RefSeq, a predicted model, not a curated record